AGCCCUUUGUCGCUAAGA
This 18-nucleotide small nuclear RNA is filed under the name Arabidopsis thaliana (thale cress). RNAcentral's name for it is "snRNA_17576". The record is from RNAcentral. Lineage: Eukaryota; Viridiplantae; Streptophyta; Magnoliopsida; Brassicales; Brassicaceae.